Molecule: ribosomal RNA, 724 nt
Filed under: uncultured bacterium
Lineage: Bacteria
Also listed under: 1 other name
Description: bacterial SSU rRNA
Rfam family: Bacterial small subunit ribosomal RNA
Source: RNAcentral
ACUCCUACGGGUGGCUGCAGUAAGGGAUAUUGCACAAUGGACGGAAGUCUGAUGCAGCGACGCCGCGUGGGUGAAGAAGGUUUUCGGAUCGUAAAGCCCUUUUCUAUGUGACGAGAGAGGACGGUAGCAUAGGAAUAAGUGUCGGCUAACUACGUGCCAGCAGCCGCGGUAAAACGUAGGACACGAACGUUAUCCGGAGUUACUGGGCGUAAAGCGCGCGCAGGCGGUGAGAUAAGUUACCUAUGAAAGAUACUGGCUAAACUGGUAUAUGUUAGGUGAAACUGUCUGACUAGAGCGAAAUAGAGGGAAGUAGAAUUCCGGGUGUAGUGGUGAAAUGCGUAGAUAUCCGGAGGAAUACCGGUGGCGAAGGCGGCUUCCUGGAUUUCCACUGACGCUGAGGCGCGAAAGCGUGGGUAGCGAACGGGAUUAGAAACCCCGGUAGUCCACGCCGUAAACGAUGUACAUUAGGUGUUCGGCAACGAUGGUUGUUGAGUGUCGCAGCAAACGCGAUAAAUGUACCGCCUGGGGAGUACGGUCGCAAGGCUAAAACUCAAAGGAAUUGACGGGGGCCCGCACAAGCAGCGGAGCGUGUGGUUUAAUUCGAGGCUACGCGAAGAACCUUACCUGGGAGUGACAUGUUGGUAGUACGGAAGCGAAAGCGGAAGGACCCUUCGGGGAGCCAGCACAGGUGCUGCAUGGUUGUCGUCAGCUCGUGUCGUGAGAU